Molecule: long non-coding RNA, 1100 nt
Filed under: Medicago truncatula (barrel medic)
Lineage: Eukaryota; Viridiplantae; Streptophyta; Magnoliopsida; Fabales; Fabaceae
Description: lncRNA gene47113
Source: RNAcentral
CUAAGUAACACAGCUAUUUUUUGUUUGAUACAAAAUGGCUCUUCACGCCAAAAAAUUGUUAAUUGGUAUUUUGAAUGUAUUGAAAGCUAAAUUCAUCCCCACGAUACCAAUUUUAUACAAUGAGGCCGGUGGUGAAAGGAACGUGUAAAGACAAUAUCUGAUAACCUUUCAUAUCUCGUAAUGAAGGUUGUGAUGUAGAUUUACAUUCAAAUAGUCAGAAAUAUUCAAUUAUGUAAAUUGUGAAGUAGGUAGGUGUGUGGAUUAUCCCGGAUACGGCCAGUCAUGUCUUUUUGAAGAGAAAUGAUAUUUAUACAACCUUUUAAAUAAUAUUUUAUCUCAUGUGCUGCACCAACAUGGAACUGUUCUAUGAAGUACAUAACCUUGAACCAACAUGUGCUGCACCAAGGUAGUCAGGAACAAGUCCCAGCACGUAGGAUCGCACGAUCUUACGUGCCACAGCACCUCGACUGUGCUUCGAUCCUACUUACAAACCGUGUUUUCUCUGAUUUGCUUUGUUUACUCUGUUUUUUGCCAUUUUUCCUCUGUUUUUCUCUGUUUUAUUGCUUGGUUCCUCUGUUUUUCCUCUAAUAUCUCUGUUUUUAUGUUUGGUUCCCCUGUUUUCCCUCUAUUUUCCCUGUAUAUUUCUCUCAAUUCUAUCGACAACCUAUUGAUCCCACUUACGAACCGUGUUACGUUCCUCGUGUUUACGUUCUUUCACCGGCCGACCGAUCCUACGUAGGAACUCGUUUCCUGACUACAUUGUGCUGCACAACCUACAAUUAUUAAUUCUGAAAUUGCAUCAGAGGUCACCCUACCUGAACCAACUUCGGUCACCGAACAAGUUAAUUCACACUCUGACAUCCCUUCCUCUUCCAUUACCAACAACCUUGCCCCUCCUGAUAGCCUAACACCUAUAAACUUCUCAAUCUUCAAUCUCACUCUAUCCAAACCUCCACCUUGUUGGUCAAAUGACGGAUACAACGAUAAUCUAGAUGGGUUUAACAGCUUUUCCCCUAAGAAGUUUUUACAAAAGCUUGGUUUUAAAAUUCUUUUGAAAGUUAUUGACUAUGAAAUUUUGUGCGACGAAUGACAAUGAUAAC